GUGUGACUGCGUACCUUUUGUAUAAUGGGUCAGCGACUUAUAUUCUGUAGCAAGGUUAACCGAAUAGGGGAGCCGAAGGGAAACCGAGUCUUAACUGGGCGUUAAGUUGCAGGGUAUAGACCCGAAACCCGGUGAUCUAGCCAUGGGCAGGUUGAAGGUUGGGUAACACUAACUGGAGGACCGAACCGACUAAUGUUGAAAAAUUAGCGGAUGACUUGUGGCUGGGGGUGAAAGGCCAAUCAAACCGGGAGAUAGCUGGUUCUCCCCGAAAGCUAUUUAGGUAGCGCCUCGUGAAUUCAUCUCCGGGGGUAGAGCACUGUUUCGGCAAGGGGGUCAUCCCGACUUACCAACCCGAUGCAAACUGCGAAUACCGGAGAAUGUUAUCACGGGAGACACACGGCGGGUGCUAACGUCCGUCGUGAAGAGGGAAACAACCCAGACCGCCAGCUAAGGUCCCAAAGUCAUGGUUAAGUGGGAAACGAUGUGGGAAGGCCCAGACAGCCAGGAUGUUGGCUUAGAAGCAGCCAUCAUUUAAAGAAAGCGUAAUAGCUCACUGGUCGAGUCGGCCUGCGCGGAAGAUGUAACGGGGCUAAACCAUGCACCGAAGCUGCGGCAGCGACNAUGCUGGAGGUAUCAGAAGUGCGAAUGCUGACAUAAGUAACGAUAAAGCGGGUGAAAAGCCCGCUCGCCGGAAGACCAAGGGUUCCUGUCCAACGUUAAUCGGGGCAGGGUGAGUCGACCCCUAAGGCGAGGCCGAAAGGCGUAGUCGAUGGGAAACAGGUUAAUAUUCCUGUACUUGGUGUUACUGCGAAGGGGGGACGGAGAAGGCUAUGUUGGCCGGGCGACGGUUGUCCCGGUUUAAGCGUGUAGGCUGGUUUUCCAGGCAAAUCCGGAAAAUCAAGGCUGAGGCGUGAUGACGAGGCACUACGGUGCUGAAGCAACAAAUGCCCUGCUUCCAGGAAAAGCCUCUAAGCAUCAGGUAACAUCAAAUCGUACCCCAAACCGACACAGGUGGUCAGGUAGAGAAUACCAAGGCGCUUGAGAGAACUCGGGUGAAGGAACUAGGCAAAAUGGUGCCGUAACUUCGGGAGAAGGCACGCUGAUAUGUAGGUGAAGUCCCUCGCGGAUGGAGCUGAAAUCAGUCGAAGAUACCAGCUGGCUGCAACUGUUUAUUAAAAACACAGCACUGUGCAAACACGAAAGUGGACGUAUACGGUGUGACGCCUGCCCGGUGCCGGAAGGUUAAUUGAUGGGGUCAGCGCAAGCGAAGCUCUUGAUCGAAGCCCCGGUAAACGGCGGCCGUAACUAUAACGGUCCUAAGGUAGCGAAAUUCCUUGUCGGGUAAGUUCCGACCUGCACGAAUGGCGUAAUGAUGGCCAGGCUGUCUCCACCCGAGACUCAGUGAAAUUGAACUCGCUGUGAAGAUGCAGUGUACCCGCGGCAAGACGGAAAGACCCCGUGAACCUUUACUAUAGCUUGACACUGAACAUUGAGCCUUGAUGUGUAGGAUAGGUGGGAGGCUUUGAAGUGUGGACGCCAGUCUGCAUGGAGCCGACCUUGAAAUACCACCCUUUAAUGUUUGAUGUUCUAACGUUGACCCGUGAUCCGGGUUGCGGACAGUGUCUGGUGGGUAGUUUGACUGGGGCGGUCUCCUCCUAAAGAGUAACGGAGGAGCACGAAGGUUGGCUAAUCCUGGUCGGACAUCAGGAGGUUAGUGCAAUGGCAUAAGCCAGCUUGACUGCGAGCGUGACGGCGCGAGCAGGUGCGAAAGCAGGUCAUAGUGAUCCGGUGGUUCUGAAUGGAAGGGCCAUCGCUCAACGGAUAAAAGGUACUCCGGGGAUAACAGGCUGAUACCGCCCAAGAGUUCAUAUCGACGGCGGUGUUUGGCACCUCGAUGUCGGCUCAUCACAUCCUGGGGCUGAAGUAGGUCCCAAGGGUAUGGCUGUUCGCCAUUUAAAGUGGUACGCGAGCUGGGUUUAGAACGUCGUGAGACAGUUCGGUCCCUAUCUGCCGUGGGCGCUGGAGAACUGAGGGGGGCUGCUCCUAGUACGAGAGGACCGGAGUGGACGCAUCACUGGUGUUCGGGUUGUCAUGCCAAUGGCACUGCCCGGUAGCUAAAUGCGGAAGAGAUAAGUGCUGAAAGCAUCUAAGCACGAAACUUGCCCCGAGAUGAGUUCUCCCUGACUCCUUGAGAGUCCUGAAGGAACGUUGAAGACGACGACGUUGAUAGGCCGGGUGUGUAAGCGCAGCGAUGCGUUGAGCUAACCGGUACUAAUGAACCGUGAGGCUUAACCUU
RNAcentral lists this ribosomal RNA (2296 nucleotides) under Escherichia coli. RNAcentral describes it as "23S ribosomal RNA". It matches the Rfam family "Bacterial large subunit ribosomal RNA", at positions 591 to 2925 of the family's 2925-position model. Lineage: Bacteria; Pseudomonadati; Pseudomonadota; Gammaproteobacteria; Enterobacterales; Enterobacteriaceae. The record is from RNAcentral.